RNAcentral lists this ribosomal RNA (371 nucleotides) under uncultured organism. RNAcentral's name for it is "partial 16S ribosomal RNA". It matches the Rfam family "Bacterial small subunit ribosomal RNA", at positions 527 to 896 of the family's 1533-position model. The record is from RNAcentral.
GUAGGUGGCAAGCGUUGUCCGGAAUUAUUGGGCGUAAAGCGCGCGCAGGCGGUUCUUUAAGUCUGAUGUGAAAGCCCACGGCUCAACCGUGGAGGGUCAUUGGAAACUGGAGAACUUGAGUACAGAAGAGGAGAGCGGAAUUCCACGUGUAGCGGUGAAAUGCGUAGAGAUGUGGAGGAACACCAGUGGCGAAGGCGGCUUUCUGGUCUGUAAUUGACGCUGAGGCGCGAAAGCGUGGGGGAGCAAACAGGAUUAGAUACCCUGGUAGUCCACGCCGUAAACGAUGAGUGCUAAGUGUUAGGGGGUUUCCGCCCCUUAGUGCUGCAGCUAACGCAUUAAGCACUCCGCCUGGGAGUACGGCCGCAAGGCUG